RNAcentral lists this long non-coding RNA (1418 nucleotides) under Monodelphis domestica (gray short-tailed opossum). RNAcentral's name for it is "lncRNA (ENSMODG00000044164.1)". Lineage: Eukaryota; Metazoa; Chordata; Mammalia; Didelphimorphia; Didelphidae. The record is from RNAcentral.
UAGUUGCUAUACCAAGAGCACCAAAUGGUGAUGUUAACAGAUUAGAACAAAUAAAAAACAUCAGGUACCCUGUAAAGAAUAGUGGACACAGACAAAGUAGUUCCCCCCCUCGGGAAGCUUACAUUCAUCCCAUGAGGAUACAACAUUGACCCAGAUAAAUUUAUUAAGAAGCAACUUGAGGAGGCAAAGGACACAAGCACCCUUGGCCAACAGGGAAGGGAGAUUUGAUAGAAGAGGUGAGACCUGAGAUGAGCCUUGAAGGAAAAUGAGAGUAGACCAGGAACCGAGAGCCUUAGGGAACAGGAAGUACCCAGAAGCAUGGGCAAACUGGAGAAAGAGCUUUCUAAAUCCAGCCAGAUCCUGUAUAUCUCGGGCUGUCAGGAACCCUCUUCCUUAGAGCACAUUCAGACAGAACAGUUUUGCAUUAAUUUAGGGCUAAUUGUCAGGUAAUGAAUUCGAUUUGGCUCACCAUAUUGAAAUCCCUUCUGCUCCCAGCUGAACACCAGUAAAUCAUUUGCAUCACAAAUCUCCUCUUUUCUGAAUGCUCAGCUUGCCUGGGCUGUUGCUCAGUCCUUCUCCUGUUCUCUGGUCUUUGAAAUCAGUUGAAAAAUCACGUUUUCUUUUUAAAGGGGGCAAUGUGGAGGCACAUCAGUUAAAGUCAGUCUUGCAGAAUUGGCUCUGAAAGUUCUGGAAAAUCCAAUUCAAAUUUUGCCCUGGACCACUCCUGCUGAGCUGUUUGAGAAUGGAUAGUGUUGGAGACCAUGAAGGAUACACCAUCUUGAAAAAAUCCAUCAGUAUGCGGUUUGAGAUCCUUAAGAAAUCUGGUGUAUGGGAAUAUAGCAGAGAGUCAUUGAAGUCCACCAGCAAGACAAAAGUCAGGAUGAGUGGUGUGGCUUGGGUUGCAUUAGAUGACCUUGGUUCCACAGCCUGUUUCAGCCACCUUGAUGUGUGUAGGAACAAACUGUUCUCAUCCACCCAUUCCAUCAGGGAGAGACCCAGAGAAGGACAGCUGGGAUGCCACCUUAUCUCAUGGUGAACCCCUCAAUCUUUAUAUAGUGAUAGGAAGACCAGAUUUUGAGUCCAAACACCUGCAUGUGAGAUCUUGCUGGAUGUCCACCUGAGACUGUGGCAUUCCAUGAUUUGUAGCCAUGUUACAUCCCUGGACGAAUGAUGCUAUUUUAUUUCAAGAAGGAGCCCAUGGUCAUUGGAAGCACUGCACAAUUUCCCAAAGGUGACUCUCCCAUGUUCUGGAGUUUGCUGCAACAGCACUACGUUACCUAUAAACAGGAGCAUGUUGAGGACCUCAAGGAAAUCCCACUUCAAUUUUGAUGUUACUCUGCACAUUCUACAUGAUGGAAAAUAUCUUGGGUAAGUCUACGUUUUGUGUUUAUGUGCUUCAUGUGAAUAAUAAUCAAAUA